Molecule: ribosomal RNA, 263 nt
Filed under: uncultured bacterium
Lineage: Bacteria
Description: partial 16S ribosomal RNA
Rfam family: Bacterial small subunit ribosomal RNA
Source: RNAcentral
GUCCACGCCGUAAACGAUGAGAACUAGGUGUUGCGGGUAUUGACCCCUGCAGUGCCGUAGCUAACGCAUUAAGUUCUCCGCCUGGGAAGUACGGUCGCAAGACUAAACUCAAAGGAAUUGACGGGGGCCCGCACAAGCGGUGUAGCAUGUGGUUUAAUUCGAAGCAACGCGCAGAACCUUACCUGGGCUUGACAUCUACGGAACCUUGUGGAAACACAGGGGUGCCUUCGGGAGCCGUAAGACAGGUGCUGCAUGGCUGUCGU